GAUGAACGCUGGCGGCGUGCCUAAUACAUGCAAGUCGAGCGAACGGACGAGCAGCUUGCUUCUCUGAUGUUAGCGGCGGACGGGUGAGUAACACGUGGAUAACCUACCUAUAAGACUGGGAUAACUUCGGGAAACCGGAGCUAAUACCGGAUAAUAUUUUGAACCGCAUGGUUCAAAAGUGGAAGACGGUCUUGCUGUCACUUAUAGAUGGAUCCGCGCUGCAUUAGCUAGUUGGUAAGGUAACGGCUUACCAAGGCAACGAUGCAUAGCCGACCUGAGAGGGUGAUCGGCCACACUGGAACUGAGACACGGUCCAGACUCCUACGGGAGGCAGCAGUAGGGAAUCUUCCGCAAUGGGCGAAAGCCUGACGGAGCAACGCCGCGUGAGUGAUGAAGGUCUUCGGAUCGUAAAACUCUGUUAUUAGGGAAGAACAUAUGUGUAAGUAACUGUGCACAUCUUGACGGUACCUAAUCAGAAAGCCACGGCUAACUACGUG
This 497-nucleotide ribosomal RNA is filed under the name uncultured bacterium. RNAcentral's name for it is "partial 16S ribosomal RNA". It matches the Rfam family "Bacterial small subunit ribosomal RNA", at positions 28 to 507 of the family's 1533-position model. The record is from RNAcentral.